Molecule: long non-coding RNA, 1377 nt
Organism: Alosa sapidissima (American shad)
Lineage: Eukaryota; Metazoa; Chordata; Actinopteri; Clupeiformes; Clupeidae
Exons: 3
Source: RefSeq, a predicted model, not a curated record
UCUAAGAAUUAGCGAGCUGAGGCAAUAAAAGGUCUUGAAAAAAUGGCUGAAACAGCAAUGCCUGAAGAACCCCUUCCAGCUGCUUCCCAGAAUAUCCAGAACAACCUUGCCAGUUCAGAGCAAGAGAUUCUGAAACCGCACUAAAGCAAUGACAGGCUUGUAAAUGCAACCUUCAGCACGAAACAGAAGGAAGCUUGGCGCAAGGCUAUAAAGAGUUUCUAUCAGAAGGAUAAUGACUUGGUGAAAAAAAAAAAUUGACCAUGAAAUACAGAUAAAUAUUUCCACAAAAAAAAAAAAACACAGACCAACAUUCCCAGGAGAAAAAACAAAGGCACAUCAAAAACAAGCACAAAGAUACUUAAUGUAAACAUAUACAACACCGGUAACAUCAUGUUUCAGGGAAAAGAAAUUACUUCUGCACUGGAGGAUUUUGAAGACAUAAAAAAAAUGGUGGAUGAUGUACAAAGGGAUGACUUGGGACCAUCUUCAGGGACUACUAAUCAGAAGAGGUUUGAGGACCAUCAAUAAUUAUAACCAUAAUUAUUAUUAUUCUUUAACCUGGAGUAUAAGGAUGGAAUCAGGAAAUGCCUAAUAUGUGCCCUACACUUCCUUUAAGGCAGUAGUCAGAGAUCAAGUAUGUUGCUCACAGCAAGACAGCCAUGGGUGGCUUUCCUGUCAUAUCAUUGGUGUUUUCUUUCCCAAUUUCUCUGACCCAACAUAUUUUCAUAGAAGCAGAUGGGAUCUAUUUAUUUUAUGACUGAGUAUAGGAAAAUGGCAUAAAUAAUGAUCGUCUUUUGAAGUUUUUAAUUUUGGAAAAUAACUUACUUAAUCACGCCUGUUUUUUUUCAAAUAAGACAAUACAAUAGUAUAUUGUAAAUGAGACAGUACAAUAAUAAAUUGUGUACUUCCCUACAUUUGUUUUAAUUUAUUAAAUUUAUGUUUAUGUUUUAAUUUUAUCCUUUCAUCUGUGGUCGGAUUCUAAAGCCUAAAUUGUGGUCCUGAAAAACUGCACUGGAUUCCAACCUAUGCAGUGGACUUGCAGUCUUUUAUUGAGGACAGAUCCGAUAUGUAUUUGAUUAGAUGUAAGUAUGACAAUACCAAUGGUCAAUGCAAACACAAACCAUUGUGGGAUUUUAGGACACAAAAGCUGUGCUAGAGAGACUAAGUAAUAACCUGUGUCAUAAGUAUUAGGUGUUUAAAGCUUUCAGUGGCAUAUAGGGUGAUAUAGGUUUAAAUGGCCAUGAUGAAAUAUUCCUAUUUUUUAACUUGUAAUGUUGUUUUGUCCUAUAACUUGCAUAUUUUAAUUUAAGUUUCAUUACUCUUUUUGUAUCUUAUUCUUGUUUGUUUAUUUUGGCAAUUGAUUAUCCCUAACUGUAA